This 564-nucleotide ribosomal RNA is filed under the name uncultured Glomeromycotina. Its description in RNAcentral is "SSU rRNA". It matches the Rfam family "Eukaryotic small subunit ribosomal RNA", at positions 548 to 1114 of the family's 1831-position model. Lineage: Eukaryota; Fungi; Glomeromycota. The record is from RNAcentral.
UUGGAGGGCAAGUCUGGUGCCAGCAGCCGCGGUAAUUCCAGCUCCAAUAGCGUAUAUUAAAGUUGUUGCAGUUAAAAAGCUCGUAGUUGAAUUUCGGGAUCAGAUUGUCGGUCGUGCCUCGGUACGCACUGGCAUUAUUGGUUCCUACCUUCUGAAGAACCGCGAUGUCAUUAAUUUGGUGUCGUGGGGAAUCAGGACUGUUACUUUGAAAAAAUUAGAGUGUUUAAAGCAGGCUUACGCUUGAAUACAUUAGCAUGGAAUAAUGGAAUAGGACGUUUGAUUCUAUUUUGUUGGUUUCUAGGAUUGACGUAAUGAUUAAUAGAGAUAGUUGGGGGCAUUAGUAUUCAAUUGUCAGAGGUGAAAUUCUUGGAUUUAUUGAAGACUAACUACUGCGAAAGCAUUUGCCAAGGAUGUUUUCAUUAAUCAAGAACGAAAGUUAGGGGGUCGAAGACGAUCAGAUACCGUCGUAGUCUUAACCAUAAACUAUGCCGACUAGGGAUCGGAUGAUGUUAAUUUUUUAAUGACUCAUUCGGCGCCUUACGGGAAACCAAAGUGUUUGGGUUC